GACGAACGCUGGCGGCGCGCCUAACACAUGCAAGUCGAGCGAUGAAAUUUUAACCGCUCUCUUCGGAGAGAAGAUAAAAUGGAUUAGCGGCGGACGGGUGAGUAACACGUGAGAAACCUGCCUUUCACAAGGGGAUAGCCUCGGGAAACCGGGAUUAAUACCCUAUGACACAUUUCCUUCGCAUGGAAGAAAUGUUAAAACUCCGGUGGUGAAAGAUGGUCUCGCGCCUGAUUAGCUAGUUGGUGGGGUAACGGCCCACCAAGGCCAUGAUCAGUAACCGGCCUGAGAGGGUGAACGGUCACAUUGGAACUGAGACACGGUCCAAACUCCUACGGGAGGCAGCAGUGGGGAAUAGUGCACAAUGGAGGAAACUCUGAUGCAGCGACGCCGCGUGAGCGAUGAAGGCUUUCGAGUCGUAAAGCUCUGUCCUAUGGGAAGAUAAUGACGGUACCAAAGGAGGAAGCCCCGGCUAACUACGUG
This 480-nucleotide ribosomal RNA is filed under the name uncultured bacterium. RNAcentral's name for it is "partial 16S ribosomal RNA". It matches the Rfam family "Bacterial small subunit ribosomal RNA", at positions 28 to 507 of the family's 1533-position model. The record is from RNAcentral.